RNAcentral lists this transfer RNA (84 nucleotides) under Microcaldota archaeon. RNAcentral describes it as "tRNA-Ser". It matches the Rfam family "tRNA". From Rfam's summary of the family: Transfer RNA (tRNA) molecules are approximately 80 nucleotides in length. The record is from RNAcentral. Lineage: Archaea; Nanobdellati; Microcaldota.
GCCGGGAUGGCAGAAUCCGGUAUCGCGCCAGACUCGAGAUCUGGUGGCCUUCGGGCCUUCUGGGUUCAAAUCCCAGUCCCGGCG